Molecule: long non-coding RNA, 740 nt
Filed under: Mus caroli (Ryukyu mouse)
Lineage: Eukaryota; Metazoa; Chordata; Mammalia; Rodentia; Muridae
Description: lncRNA (MGP_CAROLIEiJ_G0004712.1)
Source: RNAcentral
GUUAGCCUGGCUCUUGAGCCUGGCUGAUAGAAACUCCCCCAAUCCCCACUUGUUUCUAUGUUUAGGGUUUGGGCAAACUGGUAUUUUCACUCUCAGGGGCUAGCUCCAUUUGUCUGGCCACUUUUCUGACUACAGUGUUGGGUAUUGCACCUUUACAACAAGGCUGUGAGGGCUGAGCACUCAGAGGCAAAGGCAGAGGCAGGGGGAUCCCUGAGUUCAAGGCUACCCAGGGCUACACAACCCAGACCAUGGCUCCUAACAACACAGAACAGAGAGUAGUGGACUAACUGCCAUGUGCAUAUGAUCUGUAGCCUUUACAGUGGCCUUGAAAGUUGCUAAUCCCCAUUACUGAUGAAGAGACUGAAGGUCAUGGGACACAAACUUCAGCUUGGAAGGGCACCUGCUGCCCUAGCCCUCACCUGGGUCCCCAGCAUCCCAGACAACAGUCACCUGUGUGGCUCCUGGUGUGGUGUGCACUAGGCCCAGAUGCCGGAAGGACAGGGAGAGAAUGAGCACAGCCUUGUCCCGGUGCUGAGCCUGUAAGCAAUUAAAGAAGAUGUUUUCAGCUAGUGAGGAAGACUUAGAUGGCUUUUAAAAAGUAAAAUGCAGGAACAGGACAACAGAGAAGUACCGGCCGUUUCCAGGGCUGGGAGUUGAUUCCUGUUAAUGCCAAGAAACUAGGAUCCUCCAUUUCCUUGUUCUCCUUACCACUUUAAUAAAGAAAAAGAAUCGUGUGUUUC